RNAcentral lists this ribosomal RNA (375 nucleotides) under uncultured bacterium. RNAcentral's name for it is "bacterial SSU rRNA". It matches the Rfam family "Bacterial small subunit ribosomal RNA", at positions 521 to 896 of the family's 1533-position model. The record is from RNAcentral.
UAAUACGUAGGGUGCGAGCGUUAAUCGGAAUUACUGGGCGUAAAGCGUGCGCAGGCGGUUUUGUAAGACAGGCGUGAAAUCCCCGGGCUCAACCUGGGAAUUGCGCUUGUGACUGCAAGGCUAGAGUGCGUCAGAGGGGGGUAGAAUUCCACGUGUAGCAGUGAAAUGCGUAGAGAUGUGGAGGAAUACCGAUGGCGAAGGCAGCCCCCUGGGACGUGACUGACGCUCAUGCACGAAAGCGUGGGGAGCAAACAGGAUUAGAUACCCUGGUAGUCCACGCCCUAAACGAUGUCAACUAGUUGUUGGGGAUUCAUUUCCUCAGUAACGUAGCUAACGCGUGAAGUUGACCGCCUGGGGAGUACGGUCGCAAGAUUA